AAAUGUUCGUUUUCCAAUCUGAAUUUUUCCGAUUCGGAUUCAUGGGUUAGUAAAUCAGCCCCUUAAUAUACAUAGUUUCCCUCAUUUCAAGGCACCAUAUUGUGUGGGAGACAGUAACGGUUGGUAUAUUAGAGAAGUCAUGUUUAGUACUUUGUUGCAUAUCCCUUGCAUGCAAUGACUGCUUGAAGUCUGCAAUUCAUAGACAUCACCAGGUGCUGAGUAUCUUCUCUGUGAUGCCCUGCCAAGCCUCUACUGCAGCCACCUUCAACUCCUGCUUGUUCUGGGCGCUUGUCCCUUUAAGAUUCCAAUAAUUGGAUUUAAAUCAGGUGACUGCUUGGCCAUUCAAGAAUUUCCCAGUUUAAGCUUUAAGAAACUCCUGUGUUGCCCUAGCAGUAUGUUUGGGAUCAUAAGCUUGUUGCAGGAUGGAGCACCAUCCAAUGAAUUUGGAGGCAUUUACUAGAGCUUGAGCAGAUAAGAUGUUUCCAUCAGCAGUUAUAUAAUCAAUGAAGAUAAGUGUGGCAGUACCUGUGGCAGCCAUACAUGCCCAAGCAAUAACACCCCCACCACUGUGUUUAACAGAUGAGCUGGUAUGCUUUGGAUCUUGGGCAGUUCCUUAUCAUCUACACACUUUUCUCCUGCCAUCACUUUAAUACAAGUUAAUCUUGGUCUCUUCUGUCCAUAACAGAUUUCCCAGAAUUCUGCAGGCUCUUUUAAGUGCUUUUAUGCCAAAGCGGAUAGCAGUCUCUGACAAAGACACGCCUGCCUCCGGAAGAGUUUUUCCUGAGCUGUUGGACAGGCGUUUGAGGAUUUUUCUUUACCAUAACUCACAGCUUUUCACCUCAUGUUGAACAAUGGCAACUACAGACUCCAAAUGGUAGAAGCAGCCUUGGUACCUUAUCCCUGCACUAAUGCACAAACACCUGUGAAGCCAGUUGUCCCUGACAUGAAGGGGACUAUGUAUAAAAUGUUUGUAACUUCUAUAUGGUAAACAUGAAAUGUAUGCAAAUAACUUUAAAGUGCACAUUCCGGACUUUAACUUAAUCAUGUCUAAAUUGUUUGAUUUUACAUUUUACACUGAGAAUCAGAGAGGCAAAUCAAAGAAAAAUGUGUCUUUGUCCCAUACAUUAUGGCAGGCACUGUAAGGUAGUGGCAGAUGUUAGCAGAUGUACCAUGUGGCCCACCAGCCAGUGGGUGUGCUUUGGUCUCCAAAUCUAUACACACGCAUUUGACUUUCUGCCUGCCUUGAUCCCGUGCCUGGUUGACCAGGUUUUGUUUGAUCCUUGCCUGUCCCUUGUUCUACCUAGUCUGCUCUUUCCCCCAAAAGAGCAUCAGUGAAGACUGGGGCUAGUUGAGAUCUUUUUGCUUUAAGAGGAGUUACAAUUGUGCCAGCAGUCCAUCAUCUGGGUGCUCAUAUACUGUACCCAUACUGUAUGCUGGUUUGUUCAUGACAAUUGAUCAAAAUUGAACAUCCUCUCAUUAGAAAAGAUAUUUUCAGUUAAUCUGAAUCCAUUCAACUGCAAAUAUGAGGUUUUACUUGUGUCUGAUGGAGCUAAAUUUGGCAGAUUGAAGUGAUUCAAUUACACUCUCCUAGAGCUGAAAGCUAAAGUUCAGUGACGCUAAUUUAUGUUUCAGGAUGAGGGUGGUACACCAUUUAUCUGUAGUAUUGUAUGUAUUAUGUUUGGAAUCAAGAUAAAUUUGCCCUUUUAUGUCUGUAGCAGAGGUGGGCUAUGUUUCAUUAUAUCAUUAAAAAAGAAAAUCGAAAGAGCACACUUAUUAAAAUGCUAUAAGAAAUCUUGUAAUGAUAAAAAGCAAAAGUUCAUAAAAAUACACGCUUUAAUACAAAUCUUUCCAGGAUUAACUAUCAUAUUAUAUUCUUCUAAAAUCUAUAUUACAUGGUUACAGUUACAGCAAGUAGAACCAGUAUUGCGGUCACAAAGGGUGACGCAGUUGUGCUGCACCUAUCAUAAUUGUGUCUGAUUUGGCACAAUUACUGCAACUGUGCACGCAUUUCAGCUUAAAUCAGACACAAGUAGUGUAGUUUGAUGCUGCAGGGAAAUUGCAGGGACAGAUAUGGGGCUGCGGAUAGAAAUGAGUCCUAUUGUCUGAAGUAUCUGUGAAGUAAUUGAUAACUGUACCACCUGAAAACUACUAACAGAGAACUACUGGCACCAAAGUUCUAUAUGAAAAUUCAUUAUUAAGCAUGGCUCAUAUUUUUUUUUAUAAUCUCCUUGUUAGGCAACCUAACAAAUAAUUGUACAAUGUUGCAGAACAUGUUGGUACUUUAUAAAAACACGUUUUCAUCUUUUA
Long non-coding RNA from Xenopus tropicalis (tropical clawed frog), 2307 nucleotides. RefSeq lists it as uncharacterized. Lineage: Eukaryota; Metazoa; Chordata; Amphibia; Anura; Pipidae. The transcript has 2 exons. The record is from RefSeq and is a predicted model, not a curated record.